CCUACGGGUGGCAGCAGUGAGGAAUAUUGGUCAAUGGACGAGAGCCUGAACCAGCCAAGUAGCGUGAAGGAUGACUGCCCUAUGGGUUGUAAACUUCUUUUAUAUGGGAAUAAAAUGUUCCACGUGUGGGAGCUUGUAUGUACCAUAUGAAUAAGGAUCGGCUAACUCCGUGCCAGCAGCCGCGGUAAUACGGAGGAUUCGAGCGUUUACCGGGUUUAUUGGGUUUAAAGGGAGCGUAGGUGGAUUGUUAAGUCAGUUGUGAAAGUUUGCGGCUCAACCGUAAAAUUGCAGUUGAAACUGGCAGUCGUGAGUACAGUAGAGGUCGGCGGAAUUCGUGGUGUAGCGGUGAAAUGCUUAGAUAUCACGAAGAACUCCGAUUGCGAAGGCAGCUCACUGGACUGCAACUGACGCUGAGGCUCGAAAGUGUGGGUAUCAAACAGGAUUAGAUACCCCUGUAGUC
This 460-nucleotide ribosomal RNA is filed under the name uncultured bacterium. Its description in RNAcentral is "partial 16S ribosomal RNA". It matches the Rfam family "Bacterial small subunit ribosomal RNA", at positions 338 to 795 of the family's 1533-position model. The record is from RNAcentral.